UUCCUUCCCACAGACUUACCAGGUCCAGACAUAGGUACGCUACUAUAUAAAAAAGAUAACCCCAACACAUCGGGAUAUGGAAGAGUCUCUCGUUUUACUCUUGAUCUGGUCGUGCUCUGAAUUAUUGCUAACCGUUUCAUUUCUUGUUUUACUUCACAGUGAGGAUUGACAGAUUGAGAGCUCUUUCUUGAUUCUAUGGGUGGUGGUGAGUGUUAUUGUUGUGUUGUCUGUGAGCGUGUUUGUCAAUAUAUUGAAGAAUUGUUCUAACUCUCCUUUUUUCUAUUUUUAUUGUUUCAGGUGCAUGGCCGUUCUUAGUUGGUGGAGUGAUUUGUCUGGUUAAUUCCGUUAACGAACGAGACCCCUGCCUGCUAAAUAGUUGGGUGAAUGAUUUCUCAUUGACUACAGCUUCUUAGAGGGACGUGCGUUCUAUUAGACGCAGGAAGAUAGGGGCAAUAACAGGUCUGUGAUGCCCUUAGAUGUCCUGGGCCGCACGCGCGCUACACUGAUGCAUUCAACGAGUUGACCUUGGCCGAGAGGCCUGGGAAAUCUUUUUAACGUGCAUCGUGAUAGGGAUAGAUUAUUGCAAUUAUUAAUCUUGAACGAGGAAUUCCUAGUAAACGCAGAUCAUCAAUCUGCAUUGAUUACGUCCCUGCCCUUUGUACACACCGCCCGUCGCACCUACCGAUUGAUCGAUCNGGUGAAGCCUCGGGAUUGUGAGGAGUUUCCUUU
RNAcentral lists this ribosomal RNA (729 nucleotides) under Fragilariales sp. RCC2598. Its description in RNAcentral is "bacterial SSU rRNA". It matches the Rfam family "Eukaryotic small subunit ribosomal RNA", at positions 1200 to 1732 of the family's 1831-position model. Lineage: Eukaryota; Bacillariophyta; Fragilariophyceae; Fragilariales. The record is from RNAcentral.